Molecule: long non-coding RNA, 3093 nt
Filed under: Canis lupus familiaris (dog)
Lineage: Eukaryota; Metazoa; Chordata; Mammalia; Carnivora; Canidae
Description: lncRNA (ENSCAFG00845008685.1)
Source: RNAcentral
GGUUGGUUCCAUGUUUAACAAAUGGAAAUGAGAAUUUGGACAUCAUGGCUCUCCUACUCUGCGUGGGUAUAAAGGGGUCCUCUCUAUCUAGAGAUAGUCAAAGCACAGGUUUCAACACGUUGUAUCAAAUGCAUUUUCAAAGCGCACAAUGGUUUUUCUAAAUACUUACAGAUUCCAUGAAAGAGAAGUCUAUUCUUUCAAAUGAGCUAACCAGGAUAAUCAUUGUCCCCAAAGGCAAACCUUUAAAGUAAAUAGAUCAUUAAGUCAUCACUUGUGGAAAUGAGUUUUAGGGAAGGGAUUGAGCGUUGGAACAUGACUUUCAUCCAGAUAUCUAAAAGCAUAAUAGAAUGCAUAAUUAGCUCUGAGCUUCAUGAAUUUGCCUUCUAAAAUUACAUAGAUGAUUAAUGGGAAGACAAAAAAGUGGGCUUUCACAAACUCUAGUAAUAAUAAGAACUGAAAAAGAAUAAUUCACUGCUGAUAAUUCAGGACCUGCAAAGCAGUACAAUAGAGCAAUGUGGGCUAUAGAUGAGCCCUCCCCACUGUGUGUCCAUACCUGUGCCAUCCACUGCACCCUAUGCCAACCAUGUCCCGAGAGUUCCAAUCACCUGUGUGGCCCAGAGGUACAUUCCCAACCUUAAGCAGCCAUUCUAUAAAUAAUUCAGUGUUUAUUGGUCACAAGAGAAGUAACAGCCUUAGUGAAAAUUCUAUCACCAUAUAUCCAUAGCUUUCUACCAGACGUCAACUGAUGAUGGCCAUACCAAGCUGUUCCUGGGCAAUAUUUUCCACAUAAUGAGGGACAAAUGGAAAGCAACCUCUUUUCUCCAUGGUCAAUUGUCGUCCUUGUUAUAUAUGUGUCACUUAGCUGGGGUAGGGGAAGGUCAGGAGAAGAAACCUACACAAACAUAACAUUUUCAUAAGUGUCAACUCUCAGAUCACCGCAUAGCAUUAAAGGUUCUGAUUGAAAUUUAAUUAUAUGAUGUAGCUGAUUACAAUAACUAAAAUAGUAUCACAGAAGAUGCAAUUAAAAUUGUUAUGGAAACAAUUUUUGAAAUAGUUCAAAAUGCAAGGACGUUUGAGGAUGUUAACAAUUUAGAGCUGCUAAUAAGAGGUCAGGCUACAAAGGCUCUUUGAAAGAUAAUUGUCUUUUCUUUUCUUUUUUUUUUUUUUUUUGCAGUAACAAUACCAAGAUAUUUCUCACAUUCACAGUAUAAAAAGUAGGUAAAGCUAUCAAUAUUUUUGCUGCAUUGUUUGAAACUGCACAUAUAGAACUAAAUACACCAAUUGUUCCAUGAUCUAGAACAUAUAUUUAGAAAACCAAGCCCUUCUAGGCCUGGAUAAAUAUACAAAAUGUAACAUUGUCUCUGUUAACCAAUUAUAGAAAAACAUGCAAAAUCUAAUGUUUUCUGAAACAAUUAGUACUGUUUAAGCAUUUUCCCUCAUGUGGGGAGUGAGUAGGCACAUGAUCAGGCUUGCAGCCUAUCUGUUUUGUUAAAAUUCAUAGAAUCAUUUCUGGGAUAGAGAUUCUGUUAUGCUUUGAUAUGUAUACUUAAGUAUAUAUAUUUUCACAUGUAAAUAAUUCCAUAUUUAGAAAAUAGUUUAGUUAUCAGAUAUGUAUUAAACAUGUACUGUUCAUAGAGUUAGAAUUCAGACUGUUGUGGUUCUGGGGUGGUGGGAGGGUAGAUCAGGGUAUGGAAAUGCGACAUUGCCAGAUAUAAAGCUCUUCCCUAUAGCUGAUCAACAGUGUCACUGUGGACGUAAGAUGCAUACGCAAAACAAUUAAGAAAGAAGAUCUCAUUAGACUGCCAUACAUACAAAGAUGAAAGUAAAAAUCUUACACUGUGUACUAUAAUUGGUUUCAGGUCAGUAAAGAGAAAAGCUCUCUGACCUAUCCAAAGAUGGACUAGACUGCCUCAGGAAGCAGUGGGCACCCAGUGAUUCAGGGAGUGACAUCUGCACAGGCAGAGAAGCAGUUAGAAGCCAAUCCUGUGUGCUAAUAACAACCAGAUGGCUUGGAAGUAUCAGAGAGACUGUGCCAAAGAGCAAGAAGAAAUGAGAUAGCUAAAAGAGAAAAAGGUCAGAUGAAGACAGAAUAUUAACUCUUAGGAUAAAAGCUUUAUAUUUGAUACAGCAAACACUAGAAAGUUACUAACUGCUCUUAAAUAAAGGAGAAAAGCAUGGUGACAGUGUUUGAGGAGCAUUAUGCUAAUGAUUCUGUAUGGCCUAGAACCGAAGAGGGCAAGAUUUCAAAGGCUACAUCUCUUAACGCAGUAGCACAUUUGGUGAGUGGCUACAGAAAAGAGAGAAGAAGCAAUGGGUAAUGCAAGCCAAGAGAUGAGAAUACAAGUAACAAAUCAAUGUAUUUUAUGUUAUCAUGUUAGUAUUAAAUAUGACAAAGAAAAAUGUAGAAAAGAAUUUCUGUUUCCAUAAUAACAGGUAGAGUGCCCAAGGCUUCAGUUUUCCCUUAACGAGAUCACAAACAUGUUAUAUUAGAACAAUCUAGGUUCAUUGGUUAAGCCAAGUAUGACAGGGUACCAUCAUGGAUUCAAAACUUACACAGUCACUAUAACUAUUUAAAAAAUUGAGAAAAAAAAAAAACAAGAAACAUUAAGUUGUUCAUCGGAAUGAAAGAUUGGCCAACCAUUGUGAAAAUGCAUAACACUGUCACAAAUGGUGUUGGUUAAAAAUUGUUGUGAAAUACAGAACCACAAAUUAAAAAUCAACCGAAAAACAUAUGUCUGAUUUUAGUCAUACCACUUUUGAAUUUAAGGAAAAAGGUAUUUUGUAAUCUACUUGGUGUACUGAUAAUUUAUAUUUUAAAUAAGAAAAUGAUUGUUAUAGUAUGUCUUAGAUAUAUUUAACCGAGCACAUAAAUUAUUCUCAAAUACAUUUAUAGAGAAUAUUAAUGCAGUUUUUACUUAUUUUACAAAUUGUCACUUUCAGAAAUUUCUUAUGCUGAAUAGAUUUGCAUAGUAUAAAUUCCUCAAAAUUUUUUUAGAGAUUUAUGGGGGAUCAAGUCCCACUUUGGACUCCUCUCAAGGAGCCCGCUUCUCCCUCUGCCUAUGUCUCUCCUCUCUGUCUCUCAUGAACAAAUAA